This 465-nucleotide ribosomal RNA is filed under the name Vreelandella stevensii. Its description in RNAcentral is "partial 16S ribosomal RNA". It matches the Rfam family "Bacterial small subunit ribosomal RNA", at positions 338 to 795 of the family's 1533-position model. The record is from RNAcentral. Lineage: Bacteria; Pseudomonadati; Pseudomonadota; Gammaproteobacteria; Oceanospirillales; Halomonadaceae.
CCUACGGGAGGCUGCAGUGGGGAAUAUUGGACAAUGGGCGAAAGCCUGAUCCAGCCAUGCCGCGUGUGUGAAGAAGGCCUUCGGGUUGUAAAGCACUUUCAGUGGGGAAGAAAGCCUUGGGGCUAAUACCCUCGAGGAAGGACAUCACCCACAGAAGAAGCACCGGCUAACUCCGUGCCAGCAGCCGCGGUAAUACGGAGGGUGCGAGCGUUAAUCGGAAUUACUGGGCGUAAAGCGCGCGUAGGCGGUCUGAUAAGCCGGUUGUGAAAGCCCCGGGCUCAACCUGGGAACGGCAUCCGGAACUGUCAGGCUGGAGUGCAGGAGAGGAAGGUAGAAUUCCCGGUGUAGCGGUGAAAUGCGUAGAGAUCGGGAGGAAUACCAGUGGCGAAGGCGGCCUUCUGGACUGACACUGACGCUGAGGUGCGAAAGCGUGGGUAGCAAACAGGAUUAGAUACCCGAGUAGUC